RNAcentral lists this transfer RNA (72 nucleotides) under Kathetostoma albigutta. Its description in RNAcentral is "tRNA-Thr". It matches the Rfam family "tRNA". From Rfam's summary of the family: Transfer RNA (tRNA) molecules are approximately 80 nucleotides in length. Their secondary structure includes four short double-helical elements and three loops (D, anti-codon, and T loops). The record is from RNAcentral. Lineage: Eukaryota; Metazoa; Chordata; Actinopteri; Uranoscopiformes; Uranoscopidae.
GCAGUAGUAGCUCAACGUUAGAGCGCCGGCCUUGUAAGCCGGAAGUCGGGGGCUAAAUUCCCCCCUGCUGCU